Molecule: ribosomal RNA, 433 nt
Filed under: uncultured bacterium
Lineage: Bacteria
Description: partial 16S ribosomal RNA
Rfam family: Bacterial small subunit ribosomal RNA
Source: RNAcentral
AACGAACGCUGGCGGCAGGCCUAACACAUGCAAGUCGAGCGCGCCCUUCGGGGUGAGCGGCGGACGGGUGAGUAACGCGUGGGAACGUGCCCUUUUCUACGGAAUAGCCUCGGGAAACUGAGAGUAAUACCGUAUACGCCCUUUGGGGGAAAGAUUUAUCGGAAAAGGAUCGGCCCGCGUUGGAUUAGGUAGUUGGUGGGGUAAUGGCCUACCAAGCCGACGAUCCAUAGCUGGUUUGAGAGGAUGAUCAGCCACACUGGGACUGAGACACGGCCCAGACUCCUACGGGAGGCAGCAGUGGGGAAUCUCAGACAAUGGGGGCAACCCUGAUCUAGCCAUGCCGCGUGAGUGAUGAAGGCCUUAGGGUUGUAAAGCUCUUUCAGCUGGGAAGAUAAUGACGGUACCAGCAGAAGAAGCCCCGGCUAACUCCGUG